GCCUUCGUAGUGUAGUGGACAGCUCGCUUGAUUUGUAUUCAAGAAGUCCGUGGUUCGAGUCCCAGCGAGGGCA
Stegodyphus dumicola is the source of this 73-nucleotide non-coding RNA. The record is from the annotation of a RefSeq genome assembly. Lineage: Eukaryota; Metazoa; Arthropoda; Arachnida; Araneae; Eresidae.